Molecule: long non-coding RNA, 699 nt
Filed under: Anser brachyrhynchus (Pink-footed goose)
Lineage: Eukaryota; Metazoa; Chordata; Aves; Anseriformes; Anatidae
Description: lncRNA (ENSABRG00000008627.1)
Source: RNAcentral
GCAAAAAUUAAAUGUUAACACAAAUAUGAAAGUGCACAUGGAUUUGAUUAUUGUACUCCACAGGAAGAAAAUUAUGUUCUCUAAAACUCAUACCAGUUUUGUUGCUCUAUAGACUCAUUCCUGCCUUUUGUCUUUUCCUUCCAUUAACUCUUUUAAGUUCUUAAAAAGACUUGAUUAAUAAUAGGACAUAAUAUUUGCCUUAACCUUCCACUGCCAUUUCUCUUCAGUAAUGGAUUGCCUUGUCAUUAAUUAUGAUGUAAAUCUAUGGCAGUGAUUUCAGUUAACCACUUUUACUUUCCUGUUAUGUCUUCUGAAGAGUGGGAUCAAAUUCCAUGCUGGAAAACAUAAUAAGACCUGCAUUAGACCCUUUUAAUGGGCACUUCAUAGUACAAGAUUUUGCUGGUUAGAUCAUCUUCUUAGAAAUAUCACCCUGAAUGCAUAUAGAUCAUCUCUGUGCUGAAGAAUUGAUGCAGUUCCCAUCCCUGGUUCUGAAAUGUGUCUAUCACCAUUCACCUUGUGCUGAUGGAAUUCACUGAUCGUAUAUGGUAAUGAACUUGCCCCAAACAGUUGGUACAGAUGAUACCUAGAGAUACUGUUUUCUUAAUCCAUCAUUGUCUUUUGUUUCUGAUAUGUAAAAGCUGUCAUCAUCUCUGAAGAGUCUGUAUGGAUAUCCUCUGCAAGAAUUUUAACUCUGCAAAG